Molecule: transfer RNA, 80 nt
Filed under: Penaeus notialis
Lineage: Eukaryota; Metazoa; Arthropoda; Malacostraca; Decapoda; Penaeidae
Description: transfer RNA-Phe
Source: RNAcentral
AUAAUUAGAAUUUACCUAUAGAUAAGACUAAUCUCCUUUGCAGCUUCAAUGCAACGCUCUAUUAUAUGAGCUAUAUAAGU